This is an unclassified non-coding RNA of Pongo abelii (Sumatran orangutan), 117 nucleotides long. It matches the Rfam family "Metazoan signal recognition particle RNA". From Rfam's summary of the family: The signal recognition particle (SRP) is a universally conserved ribonucleoprotein. It is involved in the co-translational targeting of proteins to membranes. The eukaryotic SRP consists of a 300-nucleotide 7S RNA and six proteins: SRPs 72, 68, 54, 19, 14, and 9. The record is from Ensembl. Lineage: Eukaryota; Metazoa; Chordata; Mammalia; Primates; Hominidae.
GCUGGGCGUGGUGGCUCACGCCUGUAAUCCCAGAACUUUGGGAGGCCGAGGUGGGUGGAUCGCCUGAGGUCAGGAGUUCAAGACCAGCCUGGCCAACAUGGUGAAACCCCGUCUCUA